This 650-nucleotide ribosomal RNA is filed under the name uncultured bacterium. RNAcentral describes it as "bacterial SSU rRNA". The stretch from base 1 to 544 matches the Rfam family "Bacterial small subunit ribosomal RNA", at positions 338 to 873 of the family's 1533-position model. The record is from RNAcentral.
CCUACGGGAGGCAGCAGUGGGGAAUUUUGGACAAUGGGCGCAAGCCUGAUCCAGCAAUGCCGCGUGAGUGAGGAAGGCCUUCGGGUUGUAAAGCUCUUUUGUCAGGGAAGAAACGGUUGAGGCUAAUAUCCUCGGCUAAUGACGGUACCUGAAGAAUAAGCACCGGCUAACUACGUGCCAGCAGCCGCGGUAAUACGUAGGGUGCAAGCGUUAAUCGGAAUUACUGGGCGUAAAGCGUGCGCAGGCGGUUUUGUAAGUCUGUCGUGAAAGCCCCGGGCUUAACCUGGGAAUUGCGAUGGAGACUGCAAGGCUUGAAUCUGGCAGAGGGGGGUAGAAUUCCACGUGUAGCAGUGAAAUGCGUAGAGAUGUGGAGGAACACCGAUGGCGAAGGCAGCCCCCUGGGUCAAGAUUGACGCUCAUGCACGAAAGCGUGGGGAGCAAACAGGAUUAGAUACCCUGGUAGUCCACGCCCUAAACCGAUGUCUACUAGUUGUCGGGUCUUAAUUGUACUUGGUAACGCAGCUAACGCGUGAAGUAGACCGCCUGGGGGAGGUACGGUCGGCGAGGAGUUAAACGUUAAAACGUUAAGUAAGUUAGUACGGUACGUGUAGACGUACGACCGACGGACGACGACGACGGGAGGGAGGGAG